GAUGAACGCUGGCGGCGUGCUUAACACAUGCAAGUCGAACGAUGAUCCCAGCUUGCUGGGGGAUUAGUGGCGAACGGGUGAGUAACACGUGAGUAACCUGCCCUUGACUCUGGGAUAAGCCUGGGAAACUGGGUCUAAUACGGGAUAUGACUCCUCAUCGCAUGGUGGGGGGUGGAAAGCUUUUGUGGUUUUGGAUGGACUCGCGGCCUAUCAGCUUGUUGGUGGGGUAAUGGCCUACCAAGGCGACGACGGGUAGCCGGCCUGAGAGGGUGACCGGCCACACUGGGACUGAGACACGGCCCAGACUCCUACGGGAGGCAGCAGUGGGGAAUAUUGCACAAUGGGCGCAAGCCUGAUGCAGCGACGCCGCGUGAGGGAUGACGGCCUUCGGGUUGUAAACCUCUUUCAGUAGGGAAGAAGCGUAAGUGACGGUACCUGCAGAAGAAGCGCCGGCUAACUACGUGCCAGCAGCCGCGGUAAUACGUAGGGCGCAAGCGUUAUCCGGAAUUAUUGGGCGUAAAGAGCUCGUAGGCGGUUUGUCGCGUCUGCUGUGAAAGACCGGGGCUCAACUCCGGUUCUGCAGUGGGUACGGGCAGACUAGAGUGCAGUAGGGGAGACUGGAAUUCCUGGUGUAGCGGUGAAAUGCGCAGAUAUCAUGAGGAACACCGAUGGCGAAAGCAGGUCUCUGGGCUGUAACUGACGCUGAGGAGCGAAAGCAUGGGGAGCGAACAGGAUUAGAUACCCUGGUAGUCCAUGCCGUAAACGUUGGGCACUAUGUGUGGGGGACAUUCCACGUUUUCCGCGCCGUAGCUAACGCAUUAAGUGCCCCGCCUGGGGAGUACGGCCGCAAGCUAAAACUCAAGGAAUUGACGGGGGCCCGCACAGCGGCGGAGCAUGCGGAUUAAUUCGAUGCAACGCGAAGAACCUUACA
This 931-nucleotide ribosomal RNA is filed under the name Paenarthrobacter sp. RNAcentral describes it as "bacterial SSU rRNA". It matches the Rfam family "Bacterial small subunit ribosomal RNA", at positions 28 to 975 of the family's 1533-position model. Lineage: Bacteria; Bacillati; Actinomycetota; Actinomycetes; Micrococcales; Micrococcaceae. The record is from RNAcentral.